AACGAACGCUGGCGGCGUGCUUAACACAUGCAAGUCGAACGAGAAGGGGAGCUUGCUCCCUGGAAAGUGGCGCACGGGUGAGUAACGCGUGGAUAAUCUACCUAAUGAUCUGGGAUAACAUUUCGAAAGGGGUGCUAAUACCGGAUAAGCCCACGAUGUCUUCGGACGAUGCGGGAAAAGGUGGGGACCUUCGGGCCUACCGUCAUUAGAUGAGUCCGCGUACCAUUAGCUAGUUGGUGGGGUAAUGGCCUACCAAGGCUACGAUGGUUAGCUGGUCUGAGAGGAUGAUCAGCCACACUGGAACUGAGACACGGUCCAGACUCCUACGGGAGGCAGCAGUGGGGAAUUUUGCGCAAUGGGGGAAACCCUGACGCAGCAACGCCGCGUGAGUGAUGAAGGCCUUCGGGUCGUAAAGCUCUGUCAGUGGGAAAGAAGUGAUUGUGAGCCAAUACCUCAUGAUCCUGACGGUACCCACAAAGGAAGCACCGGCUAACUCCGUGCCAGCAGCCGCGGUAAUACGGAGGGUGCAAGCGUUGUUCGGAUUUAUUGGGCGUAAAGCGCGUGUAGGCGGUCUUUUAAGUCUGAUGUGAAAGCCCCGGGCUCAACCUGGGAAGUGCAUUGGAUACUGGGAGACUUGAAUACGGGAGAGGGCAGUGGAAUUCCUAGUGUAGGAGUGAAAUCCGUAGAUAUUAGGAGGAACACCGGUGGCGAAGGCGGCUGCCUGGACCGAUAUUGACGCUGAGACGCGAAAGCGUGGGGAGCAAACAGGAUUAGAUACCCUGGUAGUCCACGCCGUAAACGAUGAGAACUAGGUGUUGCGGGUAUUGACCCCUGCAGUGCCGCAGCUAACGCAUUAAGUUCUCCGCCUGGGAAGUACGGUCGCAAGACUAA
This 891-nucleotide ribosomal RNA is filed under the name uncultured Geobacter sp. RNAcentral's name for it is "bacterial SSU rRNA". It matches the Rfam family "Bacterial small subunit ribosomal RNA", at positions 28 to 897 of the family's 1533-position model. Lineage: Bacteria; Pseudomonadati; Thermodesulfobacteriota; Desulfuromonadia; Geobacterales; Geobacteraceae. The record is from RNAcentral.